This is a long non-coding RNA of Gastrolobium bilobum, 2067 nucleotides long. RefSeq lists it as uncharacterized. The record is from RefSeq and is a predicted model, not a curated record. The transcript is spliced from 4 exons. NCBI's taxonomy places the organism in Eukaryota, Viridiplantae, Streptophyta, Magnoliopsida, Fabales, Fabaceae.
AAGAUCCUUAUUUCCAAUGAGUGAAAGCGCUAUGAAUAUAAUAUCCCUAACCUAAUUAAUUAGUAAAUUACAAGUAAUUAAAUAAUUAAGCAUGUUUUAGUGAGUAAAAUUAAGUAUAAGGCUUAAUGAAAUGAAUCUGAGUCACUUUGGAGUUAAAAAGUGUACUCAGUGAAAAUUAAGGAGUAUAAAUGGGUACUGGCAAAAGUGCCCAAAAUAUAAAAAUAAAGUUGUAAAUAUUCCUAGAAUAAUAUUCCAGACUUUUGGGUAAAGUUUGGUAAUUAAUGGAGUUGAAUAGAUAGACGAACCAAUACCCGCUUAAAGCCACUUAACAUAAGUUAAGUGACCAAAGCAACAAAAGAAACCCAAUUGUCCCUCCCAUUCCCGUCGCCAGAAAGAAGAAGAAGGAAGAGAAGAAGAGGGAGGAAAGGAAGAGAGGAAGAGAAACCCUAGGGGGAGCUAAUCUCAACCAUUUUGAGUGAUUCCAAAGCCUAAACCACUCCAAAUCUCCUCCUCUUUCAUAAUCCUUGCUUUGUUUUGAGUGGGGAGCAUUGUGGAGAGGGAUAUUGCUCCUCAAAAAUUUGGCCUUUUGGAGAAAUUUGGGGUUUUGAGUGCUUCAACCUCCAUUGAAGCUUGAGGAGCCAUCAAUCCUUGGUUGUGUGACCAUUGGUGGAUUGAGACAUUUGGACCAACCGUGAGUGAUCAACCAUUGGAGCAAGCUAUGGAGCUUGAUUAGCUCCAUUGGAUAGGUUUUGUUUGAGAAGUGGAGUAUUUUAAUUGAUUGACUGUGGAAACUGUUGGUGGUGAACAAAGGUCGACUGAAGCAUUGAGGUAAGGAUGCUGCAGGAGCCUCUGGUGGCAAGUGGCCAUAUCUGGAUUAUGCAUGAAAUGUGGCAUUUCUUUUGAGAUUGUACAUGUUGUUUUGUAGCUCACAUGUAUAGGAUUGUGAUUCAUAGACCAUUGAUAGAUGUAUGAAUUGUAUAUUGGAAUGGACUUAGCCUAUGCUCAUGCCUUUGGUCAUCUCUUUUGUUGAUGAGAGCCAAGGGAAUGAUCAUAGUGUUUUGUUAGCUAAGUUCCAUGAAUUGUAAUGAACAUGAUGUGUAAUUGAUGAGUACUUUGAGUUUAAUAUAUGUAUGUUCAUUAAGUAUUGGAUUGUUGAACUGGAAACUAAAUUAGGUACCUAGUGCUAAAUUGGGAAAUGUUGAGAAAACAAAUACAUCCUGUCCGUUUGACCAAUUUUCAUACCCAAUGUGAUGGAAUUGGACUUUGAUGUCUCUAGGGAAGUGGUAGACAUUCCUCUUAGCUUUCCAUAGAGACCAAAAUGGUGUAAUUUGAGUGAGUAUAGCUCAAAUUAUGAGUGGAAAACCAUAGGUAGGCUAAAUGACCUUGUUUUGGGUCACCCAGCCCUGUGGAUGGCGCCUGAGGCGCCAAAUUCACGCUUGGGGCGCCAAAUUACGAGAUCAGACAGUAGCAUCCACGCUUGGGGCGCCAGAUUCACGCUUGGGGCGCCAACUUUCUGUUUUCCCACGCUCUGAGCGUGGAUCUCACGCUGCGGGCGCGGGGGUUCUGGAGGUUUCGCACCCUUUUCUUAAAAAGUGCAUAACUUUGGCUACGGUGCUCCGAUUUGAGCGCGGUUUGAACCCACGCGUAGCUAAUGAAAAAUACUAUAACAUAGUAGAAGAUGGGAAUCAUAAAAGGAGUUUAGAAUUAAUUUGAUAAGUAAAGUGAUGAAGACAUUUCACGACGUAUUGUCAAGUAUAAUGGGAAUAUAAUCUUAAGUUUUGUCCCACUAUUCCGCGAAGUAUAUAUAGUUAUGAUCACGCACUUGGUUAUUUGAAUCCGGCUUGUAUAAAGAGGAAAAAUUUAUCCGGUUUUCUAAUUGAACCAAUGUGAUUGUAACUGCGCUUAAUGCCGUACGCAAUGAUAACAACCCGGUUCUAGAACGGGGUGUUACAGUGACAUUUUUGAAGACACCUCCUACGGGAACUUCACCAUAAAGAUGGUUAAAAGACAGGUCCAAAGCAUUCAACAAUCUUAGAUUUUCUAGUUCACGGGGGAUUGUGCUUGAGA